UGUGUUCACAGCGGACCUUGAUUUAAUACCCAAUACAAUUAAGGCACGCGGUGAAUGCCA
Gadus morhua (Atlantic cod) is the source of this 60-nucleotide microRNA precursor. Ensembl annotates it as gmo-mir-124-4. Its record names the gene gmo-mir-124-4. Lineage: Eukaryota; Metazoa; Chordata; Actinopteri; Gadiformes; Gadidae. The record is from Ensembl.